GAGUUUGAUCCUGGCUCAGGACGAACGCUGGCGGCGUGCUUAACACAUGCAAGUCGAACGGAAAGGCCCCGCUCGCGGGGUACUCGAGUGGCGAACGGGUGAGUAACACGUGGGUGAUCUGCCCUGCACUUCGGGAUAAGCCUGGGAAACUGGGUCUAAUACCGGAUAUGACCUCCCUUUAGUGUGGGGGGUGGAAAGAUUUAUCGGUGCAGGAUGAGCCCGCGGCCAAUCAGCUUGUUGGUGGGGUAAUGGCCUACCAAGGCGUCGACGGGUAGCCGGCCUGAGAGGGUGGACGGCCACAUUGGGACUGAGAUACGGCCCAGACUCCUACGGGAGGCAGCAGUGGGGAAUAUUGCACAAUGGGCGGAAGCCUGAUGCAGCGACGCCGCGUGGGGGAUGACGGCCUUCGGGUUGUAAACCUCUUCCGACAGGGACGAAGUGAAAAUGACGGUACCUGUAUAAGAAGCACCGGCUAACUACGUGCCAGCAGCCGCGGUAAUACGUAGGGUGCGAGCGUUGUCCGGAAUUACUGGGCGUAAAGAGCUCGUAGGUGGUUUGUCACGUCGUCUGUGANAUUCCGGGGCUUAACCUCGGGCGUGCAGGCGAUACGGGCAAUACUUGAGUGCUGUAGGGGAGACUGGAAUCCUGGUUAGCGGUGAAAUGCGCAGAUAUCAGGAGGAACACCAAUGGCGAAAGCAGGUCUCUGGGCAGUACUGACGCUGAGGAGCGAAAGCAUGGGUAGCGAACAGGAUUAGAUACCCUGGUAGUCCAUGCCGUAAACGGUGGGCGCUAGGUGUAGGGGACUUCCACGUUCUCUGUGCCGUAGCUAACGCAUUAAGCGCCCCGCCUGGGGAGUACGGCCGCAAGGCUAAAACUCAAAGGAAUUGACGGGGGCCCGCACAAGCGGCGGAGCAUGUGGAUUAAUUCGAUGCAACGCGAAGAACCUUACCUGGGCUUGACAUACACCGGACCGGCGUAGAGAUACGUCUUCCCUUGUGGCCGGUGUACAGGUGGUGCAUGGUUGUCGUCAGCUCGUGUCGUGAGAUGUUGGGUUAAGUCCCGCAACGAGCGCAACCCUUGUCUUAUGUUGCCAGCACGUGAUGGUGGGGACUCAUGAGAGACUGCCGGGGUCAACUCGGAGGAAGGUGGGGAUGACGUCAAAUCAUCAUGCCCCUUAUGUCCAGGGCUUCACACAUGCUACAAUGGUCGGUACAGCAGGUCGCGAACUUGUGAGAGUAAGCCAAUCCUUCAAAGCCGGCCUCAGUUCGGAUUGGGGUCUGCAACUCGACCCCAUGAAGUCGGAGUCGCUAGUAAUCGCAGAUCAGCAACGCUGCGGUGAAUACGUUCCCGGGCCUUGUACACAC
Molecule: ribosomal RNA, 1364 nt
Filed under: uncultured bacterium
Lineage: Bacteria
Description: bacterial SSU rRNA
Rfam family: Bacterial small subunit ribosomal RNA
Source: RNAcentral